This 1151-nucleotide long non-coding RNA is filed under the name Equus caballus (horse). Its description in RNAcentral is "lncRNA (ENSECAG00000049926.1)". The record is from RNAcentral. Lineage: Eukaryota; Metazoa; Chordata; Mammalia; Perissodactyla; Equidae.
AAGGCGAUGAUUUCACACGCGUGUGACUGGAGUGGAGCUGCUCUUCCUUCUUCCAAAGUCCGCUCGGCGCUCGGGGACCAGCUGCCCCCUUAUCACACACAAGCAGCCUCAGGGAGCCGACAGAGACCCACAGCGCCUGUCACCAGGCGGUGAGGCCAGCACUCCCGAGCCACCUGCUUUUCAAAAGGAUAAACAGACAACUCAGAACCCAGCCAGGCUCGGCCAGAGAAGAGCCGCAGUGAAAGCAAAGUGGAGCCUAGAGACUUAAGAAUGGCUGGAGGUUUCAGAUGCUGUCCGCUGGGAAAAUCGGUCGUUCCUUACCUCAUUCUCAGGGCUCUGCCUCUGUGGGGUGGGUCUUCUUUUCAGCCAUUUCUGCCUCAGAGUGAAUGACCGAAUCCUGCCUCCGUGCUUUGAUCACUGGUACAUUUCAAGGAGAGGAGUUCCUGUCCCGAAUCAGGGACACUUCAGUUAUGGUCAGUUAGAAAAUGCUAGUUCUCCAGACCAACAGUUGAAGUUCCAGCUGCUAGACUGAUGCAUGAGUUCCUCAUUAGCCAACUGCCGCCCUCCAGUUGGAUGGAGGACAGUGCACUGGAGCCCUUGCAUCUGAGGAAUGUGCUGUGUGCCAUGUACCAGAUGGCCCCAAGCUCUCAGGACUCCGAGUGCCCCACAUAUCUCUUAAAUAAAAGAGCAAAUGUCCCCUUCAGGGGAUGGAAGGAUGGAAGUAAUGGAAGGAAGAAGAUGAUUGUUUAAGGCCUGCAAACUUUGAACAAUUAGUUGAAUAUAAAGUUGAUGUUAAUCUGAAUAACACACAUUUUCAGGUAAAAGGGUCAGAUCUUUGUAGGCAGUGAUUAUCACAAACAAAAAGAUCCGGCUUUGGGGAUAAGGGUGUUUGGAAAUCAAAAAGAGAAAAUAUUCUGGGAUGAAAAAUUUUCCUUAGAUGCUCUGUGAGUAAAGAUUGGUCCUUUAUGUAAAAUUUGAGAUGGAAAGAAGACCACAUCCAGGAAACAAAAAGCUUACAACAGGGUUUUGGAAACAAGGUCUUUUUAGACAGAUGGAUGUAGUUUUGGAAUUGUCUUUUGGAAAUUGUUUUUUAACUCUUUGACCUGAAAUUGUGCUUAAAAUUUUGAAGAAUAAAGAAUUCUUUUGGUGUU